AGCCGCCGCGGUAAUACGUAGGGACCAAGCGUUGUUCGGAUUUACUGGGCGUAAAGGGCGCGUAGGCGGCAGUUCAAGUCAGUUGUGAAAUCUCCGAGCUUAACUCGGAACGGUCAACUGAUACUGUUUUGCUAGAGUGCAGAAGGGGCAAUCGGAAUUCUUGGUGUAGCGGUGAAAUGCGUAGAUAUCAAGAGGAACACCUGAGGUGAAGACGGGUUGCUGGGCUGACACUGACGCUGAGGCGCGAAAGCUAGGGUAGCAAACGGG
RNAcentral lists this ribosomal RNA (267 nucleotides) under uncultured prokaryote. Its description in RNAcentral is "partial 16S ribosomal RNA". It matches the Rfam family "Bacterial small subunit ribosomal RNA", at positions 510 to 776 of the family's 1533-position model. The record is from RNAcentral.